RNAcentral lists this ribosomal RNA (208 nucleotides) under uncultured eukaryote. RNAcentral describes it as "partial 18S ribosomal RNA". It matches the Rfam family "Eukaryotic small subunit ribosomal RNA", at positions 1299 to 1458 of the family's 1831-position model. The record is from RNAcentral.
UGGUGGAGUGAUUUGUCUGGUUUAUUCCGUUAACGAACGAGACCUUAACCUGCUUACUAGUUCGGACAGCCUUCUGAUAUGCUGUGAAGUUUGGGCGGCGCGCCGGCUUAACGGCUGGUGCCUGUCUGGGUGGAUCAGUUGAUGAGCUGUUCGCAACUUCUUAGAGGGACUUUUAGCGACAAGCUAAAGGAAGUUUGAGGCAAUAACA